RNAcentral lists this ribosomal RNA (467 nucleotides) under uncultured bacterium. RNAcentral's name for it is "partial 16S ribosomal RNA". It matches the Rfam family "Bacterial small subunit ribosomal RNA", at positions 28 to 507 of the family's 1533-position model. The record is from RNAcentral.
GACGAACGCUGGCGGUGUGCUUAACACAUGCAAGUCGAACGGUAAGGCCCUUUCGGGGGUACACGAGUGGCGAACGGGGGAGUAACACGUGAGUAACCUGCCCUCAUCUCUGGGAUAACAGUCGGAAACGGUUGCUAAUACUGGAUAUGAGCUUGCAAGGCAUCUUGUGGGUUGGAAAGAUUUUUUUGGUUGGGGAUGGACUCGCGGCCUAUCAGCUUGUUGGUGAGGUAGUGGCUCACCAAGGCUUCGACGGGUAGCCGGCCUGAGAGGGCGACCGGCCACAUCGGGACUGAGAGACGGCCCACACUCCUACGGGAGGCAGCAGUGGGGAAUAUUGCACAAUGGACGGCAGUCUGAUGCAGCAACGCCGCGUGCGGGAUGACGGCCUUCGGGUUGUAAACCGCUUUCAAUUGUGACGAAGCGUUUUUGUGACGGUAGCAGUAGAAGAAGCACCGGCUAACUACGUG